CAUAGGAUCCUUGAGGAGAGAAAAGCCCAGGAAAUCAGCCUGAUCAGUCUGAUGCCACAGUUUAGUUAAGGAGCAGAGUACUCAAGGAAUGUGUCACUGCUUCCCCCAGGUCCUCCUUUUAUUCCAGGAACAUGAGAAGAGACUGAUAAAUGGAAAAUCCUUCUUCCCUGCAAACAGAGCCACCACACCAGCAUCUACUACUUCCUGAUGUUUGGCUUUUAUAAAGGGUUCUUGGUGCACUCUGGGAUGGAAAUUUUUCUCAAGGCAACCAGCAGAAACUAUUUUAGGCUGAGAUUUUCAUAACAGCUUUAGUGCCUUCCUAAAGGAAGAGAUCACCUGAUUCCCUGGAAACACUGGAGAAAAACCACCCCACUCCACCAUCAGUUACAUCUGCUUGGCAAUGGAUGGUGGGUGAAGGACUUUGGGCACUGGAACAUUUGGACGAGGAGCAGAUCCUCUGAGGCAUUUCAUGGACUGACAGGAGAGAGAAAAAGGUGGC
Long non-coding RNA from Melospiza melodia melodia, 499 nucleotides. RefSeq lists it as uncharacterized. The transcript has 4 exons. Lineage: Eukaryota; Metazoa; Chordata; Aves; Passeriformes; Passerellidae. The record is from RefSeq and is a predicted model, not a curated record.